Molecule: small nuclear RNA, 102 nt
Organism: Jaculus jaculus (lesser Egyptian jerboa)
Lineage: Eukaryota; Metazoa; Chordata; Mammalia; Rodentia; Dipodidae
Source: RefSeq, a predicted model, not a curated record
GUGCUUUGGGAGCACGUAAACUAAAAUUGGAAAAAUGCAGAGAAAAUGAGCAUGGUCAGUACACAGGGUGACAUGCACGUUUGUGAAGCAUUCCAUAUAUAU